Molecule: ribosomal RNA, 1114 nt
Filed under: Vibrio sp. 7512M
Lineage: Bacteria; Pseudomonadati; Pseudomonadota; Gammaproteobacteria; Vibrionales; Vibrionaceae
Description: bacterial SSU rRNA
Rfam family: Bacterial small subunit ribosomal RNA
Source: RNAcentral
CGCAGCCGAGCAGCCAUGCCGCGUGUGUGAAGAAGGCCUUCGGGUUGUAAAGCACUUUCAGUCGUGAGGAAGGUGGUGUAGUUAAUAGCUGCAUUAUUUGACGUUAGCGACAGAAGAAGCACCGGCUAACUCCGUGCCAGCAGCCGCGGUAAUACGGAGGGUGCGAGCGUUAAUCGGAAUUACUGGGCGUAAAGCGCAUGCAGGUGGUUUGUUAAGUCAGAUGUGAAAGCCCGGGGCUCAACCUCGGAAUAGCAUUUGAAACUGGCAGACUAGAGUACUGUAGAGGGGGGUAGAAUUUCAGGUGUAGCGGUGAAAUGCGUAGAGAUCUGAAGGAAUACCGGUGGCGAAGGCGGCCCCCUGGACAGAUACUGACACUCAGAUGCGAAAGCGUGGGGAGCAAACAGGAUUAGAUACCCUGGUAGUCCACGCCGUAAACGAUGUCUACUUGGAGGUUGUGGCCUUGAGCCGUGGCUUUCGGAGCUAACGCGUUAAGUAGACCGCCUGGGGAGUACGGUCGCAAGAUUAAAACUCAAAUGAAUUGACGGGGGCCCGCACAAGCGGUGGAGCAUGUGGUUUAAUUCGAUGCAACGCGAAGAACCUUACCUACUCUUGACAUCCAGAGAACUUUCCAGAGAUGGAUUGGUGCCUUCGGGAACUCUGAGACAGGUGCUGCAUGGCUGUCGUCAGCUCGUGUUGUGAAAUGUUGGGUUAAGUCCCGCAACGAGCGCAACCCUUAUCCUUGUUUGCCAGCGAGUAAUGUCGGGAACUCCAGGGAGACUGCCGGUGAUAAACCGGAGGAAGGUGGGGACGACGUCAAGUCAUCAUGGCCCUUACGAGUAGGGCUACACACGUGCUACAAUGGCGCAUACAGAGGGCAGCAAGCUAGCGAUAGUGAGCGAAUCCCAAAAAGUGCGUCGUAGUCCGGAUUGGAGUCUGCAACUCGACUCCAUGAAGUCGGAAUCGCUAGUAAUCGUGGAUCAGAAUGCCACGGUGAAUACGUUCCCGGGCCUUGUACACACCGCCCGUCACACCAUGGGAGUGGGCUGCAAAAGAAGUAGGUAGUUUAACCUUCGGGAGGACGCUUACCACUUUGUGUUCAUGACUGGGUGAGCGU